Molecule: long non-coding RNA, 963 nt
Organism: Monomorium pharaonis (pharaoh ant)
Lineage: Eukaryota; Metazoa; Arthropoda; Insecta; Hymenoptera; Formicidae
Exons: 2
Source: RefSeq, a predicted model, not a curated record
AAAGAAAAUAAUAAAUAAUAUUAUAUAACGCUCACCAAUACACUAAUUCAUAUAUAGAACAUUAAAUACGUAUUUAGAAUAUUCGAGGAUUGGUACGAAUAAACCGUCAUGCGCAUGUACGCAUCUCGCUAUUUUGCACGCUGGUGCACGCGCAACCGACGCAACGCCGCAACAUGAUGACGUGCGCGAGGUUAGCAGCGAGUCAGUUUUUAGUUUUAUGCAUAAUUUGCAUAUUUUACAUCGUGAAGGAAAAUACGACUGUGCUUAAUUUGAAGUUUAGUCUAACACAAUGGGUUGUAUAAUCAGAUAAGUCUCACAAAAUUUUUAUUUUUUUGUAUGGAGUAAGUAUUCUGAGAUAAGAUUAAUACUUUGUGUUAUGUUUUAUUUUUAGUUAUAUUAAAAGCAAGAAAGGAAGAAACACUUUAUUUGAGCGUAAAGUAGAAGAAAGAAUAGACGAGUAAGGAAAGAAAGAUAUAAAAGAGAGAUCAACCUCACAGCUUGGAAUUUACAGUGUGCCGAACAGAAUAUGUGGACCUUGAAGCUUAGCGAACCAUUAUAUAAAGAAUUGGCAGAGCAAUUCAUAUCAAAAGGAUUAUCCAAAGGUGUACCUCCUAGUUCUUCAAGUAUGUCAUUAUCUUAUGGCAGGCUAGGUAAGAGAAUAAUGACAAAUGUUAUAAUUUUAUUUUAAUAUUGUAUUGCAACUAUGUGACUCUUAAAGGUAUCGUACAACCAUCUUUUUUAGAUUACUGAAAUAAAUAAAAAGCGAAAUCUGAUCUGAAACAAUUACAACAAAGUAUACAGACUAAUGUCACUCAACUAACCUGCCGAUGAUGUGGUCGCAGGCUGUAAUAUAGGAAAUAUGUUUAUGAAUGUCAAAGAUUAUCUGUAGGUCUUAGUCAUUUAGUAACUGUUAUGCAUUUUGUGUCAGCCAGAUAUACGCCUCAGAAUUAUAUUGAUAAAGCU